CCUACGGGUGGCUGCAGUAGGGAAUCUUCCGCAAUGGACGAAAGUCUGACGGAGCAACGCCGCGUGAGCGAUGAAGGCCUUCGGGUCGUAAAGCUCUGUCCUAAGGGAAGAAUAAUGACGGUACCUUAGGAGGAAGCCCCGGCUAACUACGUGCCAGCAGCCGCGGUAAUACGUAGGGGGCGAGCGUUAUCCGGAAUCACUGGGCGUAAAGGGUGCGUAGGCGGCCCUGCAAGUCAGGAGUUAAAUCCCUCGGCUCAACCGAGGUCAGCUCUUGAAACUGUAGGGCUUGAGUGCAGGAGAGGAGAGCGGAAUUCCUAGUGUAGCGGUGAAAUGCGUAGAUAUUAGGAGGAACACCAGUGGCGAAGGCGGCUCUCUGGACUGCAACUGGCGCUGAGGCACGAAAGCGUGGGGAGCGAACAGGAUUAGAUACCCGGGUAGUC
Molecule: ribosomal RNA, 440 nt
Filed under: uncultured bacterium
Lineage: Bacteria
Description: bacterial SSU rRNA
Rfam family: Bacterial small subunit ribosomal RNA
Source: RNAcentral